UUUCCGUAGGUGAACCUGCGGAAGGAUCAUUACAGUGUUCCCUGCCCUUCGGGGUCGGAUCGCCACCCUUGAUUAUUUAUGAGUGUUGCUUUGGCUGGCCUCGCGGCCUGGCCGCGCCCCGGCUUCGGCGGGGGAGCGCCCGCCAGAGGAUUCUACAAACCUGAUUAUUAGUGUCGUCUGAGUACUAUAUAAUAGUUAAAACUUUCAACAACGGAUCUCUUGGUUCUG
This 228-nucleotide unclassified non-coding RNA is filed under the name plant metagenome. RNAcentral's name for it is "partial contains small subunit ribosomal RNA, internal transcribed spacer 1, and 5.8S ribosomal RNA". The record is from RNAcentral.